CCUACGGGAGGCAGCAGUCGGGAAUAUUGCGCAAUGGGGGAAACUCUGAUGCAGCAACGCCGCGUGCGUGAAGAAGGAUUUCGGAAUGUAAAGUUCUUUCGGCAGGGAAGAAAAAAGACGGUACCUGUCUAAUAAGCCCCGGCUAACUACGUGCCAGCAGCCGCGGUAAUACGUAGGGAGCAAGCGUUAUCCGGAUUUACUGGGUGUAAAGGGAGCGUAGACGGGAAGACAAGUCGGUAGUGAAAUACCCGGGCUCAACCUGGGAAUUGC
RNAcentral lists this ribosomal RNA (270 nucleotides) under uncultured bacterium. Its description in RNAcentral is "partial 16S ribosomal RNA". It matches the Rfam family "Bacterial small subunit ribosomal RNA", at positions 338 to 624 of the family's 1533-position model. The record is from RNAcentral.